GAUGAACGCUGGCGGCGUGCCUAAUACAUGCAAGUCGAGCGAACGGACGAGAAGCUUGCUUCUCUGAUGUUAGCGGCGGACGGGUGAGUAACACGUGGAUAACCUACCUAUAAGACUGGGAUAACUUCGGGAAACCGUAGCUAAUACCGGAUAAUAUUUUGAACCGCAUGGUUCAAAAGUGAAAGACGGUCUUGCUGUCACUUAUAGAUGGAUCCGCGCUGCAUUAGCUAGUUGGUAAGGUAACGGCUUACCAAGGUAACGAUGCAUAGCCGACCUGAGAGGGUGAUCGGCCACACUGGAACUGAGACACGGUCCAGACUCCUACGGGAGGCAGCAGUAGGGAAUCUGCCGCAAUGGGCGAAAGCCUGACGGAGCAACGCCGCGUGAGUGAUGAAGGUCUUCGGAUCGUAAAACUCUGUUAUUAGGGAAGAACAUAUGUGUAAGUAACUGUGCACAUCUUGACGGUACCUAAUCAGAAAGCCACGGCUAACUACGG
Molecule: ribosomal RNA, 496 nt
Filed under: uncultured bacterium
Lineage: Bacteria
Description: partial 16S ribosomal RNA
Rfam family: Bacterial small subunit ribosomal RNA
Source: RNAcentral